NNNNNNNNNNNNNNNNNNNNNNNNNNNNNNNNNNNNNNNNNNNNNNNNNNGGGAUUUUUGGGAAUUGUUGGGGAAUUUUUUGGGAAUUUGUCGGGAAUUUGUGGGGGAUUUGGGGGAAUUUUUUGGGAAUUUGGGAUUUUUGGGAAUUUGGGGAUUUUGGGAUUUGGGAUUUGGGAUUUUUGGGAUUUGGGAAUUCGGGAUUUUGGGGAUUUGGGGAUUCGGGAUUUGGGAAUUUUUGUGGAUUGGGGAUUUGGGAUUUUUGGGAUUUGGGAAUUCGGGAUUCGGGGAUUUUGGGGGAUUUUGGGGGAUUUGGGAUUUGGGAAUUGUUGGGAGUUUUUGGGGAAUUUUUGGGGGAUUUCGGGGAAUUUUUUGGGAAUUUGUGGGGAUUUGUGGGGGAUUUCGGGGACAUUUCAGGGACAUUUCAGGGACAUUGUGGGAACAUUUUGGGGAUAUUUCGGGGCUAUUUCAGAGAUAUUUUGGGGUUAUUUUGGGGAUAUUUCAGGAACAUUUUGGGGAUAUUUUGGGGUAUUUCAGGGAUAUUUUUGGGAUAUUUUGGGGACAUUUCAGGGAUAUUUCGGGGAUAUUUUGGGAACAUUUUGGGGAUAUUUUGGGGCUAUUUCGGGGAUAUUUUGGGGACAUUUCAGGGAUAUUUCGGGGAUAUUUCGGGAACAUUUCGGGGACGUUUUGGGAUAUUUUGGGGACAUUUUGGGGAUAUUUUGGGGAUAUUUCAGGAACAUUUCAGGGAUAUUUCAGGAACAUUUCAGGGAUAUUUCGGGGACAUUUUGGGGACAUUUCAGGGAUAUUUUGGGGAUAUUUUGGGGAUAUUUUGGGGACAUUUCAGGGACAUUUCAGGGAUAUUUCAGGAACAUUUCAGGGACAUUUCAGGGAUAUUUCAGGAACAUUUCAGGGACAUUUCAGGGAUAUUUCGGGGACAUUUCGGGGACGUUUUGGGGAUAUUUCAGGGAUAUUUCGGGGAUAUUUUGGGAACAUUUUGGGGACAUUUUGGAGAUAUUUCAGGAACAUUUCAGGGACGUUUUGGGAACAUUUUGGGGACAUUUCAGGGAUAUUUCAGGGACAUUUCGGGGACAUUUCAGGGAUAUUUCAGGGACAUUUCAGGGAUAUUUCGGGGAUAUUUUGGGGAUAUUUUGGGGAUAUUUUGGGAACAUUUUGGGGACAUUUUGGGGACAUUUUGGGGACAUUUUGGAGAUAUUUUGGGGAUAUUUCGGGGACAUUUUGGGGAUAUUUUGGGGAUAUUUCGGGGAUAUUUUGGGGAUAUUUUGGGAACAUUUUGGGGACAUUUCGGGGACAUUUUGGGGACAUUUUGGGGACAUUUUGGGGACAUUUCAGGGAUAUUUCAGGGAUAUUUCAGAGAUAUUUUGGGAACAUUUCAGGGACAUUUUGGGGAUAUUUCGGGGACAUUUCAGGGAUAUUUCAGGGAUAUUUUGGGGAUAUUUUGGGGAUAUUUUGGGAAGAUUUUGGGGAUAUUUCGGGGACAUUUCAGGGAUAUUUCGGGGACAUUUUGGGGAUAUUUUGGGGAUAUUUCAGGGACAUUUCGGGGAUAUUUUGGGAACAUUUCGGGGACAUUUCGGGGACAUUUUGGGAACAUUUCGGGGACAUUUCGGGGAUAUUUCAGGGACAUUUCAGGGAUAUUUUGGGGACAUUUUGGGGACAUUUCAGGGAUAUUUCAGGGACAUUUCAGGGAUAUUUUGGGGACAUUUUGGGGACAUUUCAGGGAUAUUUUGGGGAUAUUUCGGGAACAUUUUGGGGACAUUUUGGGGAUAUUUCAGGAACAUUUCGGGGAUAUUUCAGGAACAUUUCGGGGAUAUUUCAGGAACAUUUCAGGGACAUUUCAGGGAUAUUUCGGGAACAUUUCAGGGACAUUUCAGGGAUAUUUUGGGGACAUUUUGGGGAUAUUUUGGGGAUAUUUCAGGAACAUUUUGGGGACGUUUUGGGGUAUUUUGGAGAUAUUUCAGGAACAUUUCAGGGACAUUUCAGGAACAUUUCGGGGAUAUUUCAGGAACAUUUCAGGGAUAUUUUGGGGAUAUUUUGGGGAUAUUUCAGGAACAUUUCAGGGAUAUUUCGGGAACAUUUCAGGGACA
Molecule: long non-coding RNA, 2099 nt
Filed under: Lonchura striata (white-rumped munia)
Lineage: Eukaryota; Metazoa; Chordata; Aves; Passeriformes; Estrildidae
Description: domestica (Bengalese finch) lncRNA (ENSLSDG00000000264.1)
Source: RNAcentral